UACGGAGGGAGCUAGCGUUGUUCGGAAUUACUGGGCGUAAAGCGCACGUAGGCGGCUUUGUAAGUUAGAGGUGAAAGCCCCGGGCUCAACCUGGGAAUGGCCGUUGAAACUGGCGAACUGGAGUGUGGCAGAGGGGGGUGGAAUUCCGCGUGUAGCAGUGAAAUGCGUAGAGAUGCGGAGGAACACCGAUGGCGAAGGCAGCCCCCUGGGCUGACACUGACGCUCAGGCACGAAAGCGUGGGGAGCAAACAGG
Molecule: ribosomal RNA, 253 nt
Filed under: uncultured bacterium
Lineage: Bacteria
Description: partial 16S ribosomal RNA
Rfam family: Bacterial small subunit ribosomal RNA
Source: RNAcentral